RNAcentral lists this ribosomal RNA (1505 nucleotides) under Shigella flexneri. RNAcentral describes it as "bacterial SSU rRNA". It matches the Rfam family "Bacterial small subunit ribosomal RNA". Lineage: Bacteria; Pseudomonadati; Pseudomonadota; Gammaproteobacteria; Enterobacterales; Enterobacteriaceae. The record is from RNAcentral. RNAcentral also lists the same sequence under 1 other name.
UAUAUAUGGUGUUUUUUUUUCGUCAGAUUGAACGCUGGCGGCAGGCCUAACACAUGCAAGUCGAACGGUAACAGAAAGCAGCUUGCUGCUUUGCUGACGAGUGGCGGACGGGUGAGUAAUGUCUGGGAAACUGCCCGAUGGAGGGGGAUAACUACUGGAAACGGUAGCUAAUACCGCAUAACGUCGCAAGACCAAAGAGGGGGACCUUCGGGCCUCUUGCCAUCGGAUGUGCCCAGAUGGGAUUAGCUAGUAGGUGGGGUAAAGGCUCACCUAGGCGACGAUCCCUAGCUGGUCUGAGAGGAUGACCAGCCACACUGGAACUGAGACACGGUCCAGACUCCUACGGGAGGCAGCAGUGGGGAAUAUUGCACAAUGGGCGCAAGCCUGAUGCAGCCAUGCCGCGUGUAUGAAGAAGGCCUUCGGGUUGUAAAGUACUUUCAGCGGGGAGGAAGGGAGUAAAGUUAAUACCUUUGCUCAUUGACGUUACCCGCAGAAGAAGCACCGGCUAACUCCGUGCCAGCAGCCGCGGUAAUACGGAGGGUGCAAGCGUUAAUCGGAAUUACUGGGCGUAAAGCGCACGCAGGCGGUUUGUUAAGUCAGAUGUGAAAUCCCCGGGCUCAACCUGGGAACUGCAUCUGAUACUGGCAAGCUUGAGUCUCGUAGAGGGGGGUAGAAUUCCAGGUGUAGCGGUGAAAUGCGUAGAGAUCUGGAGGAAUACCGGUGGCGAAGGCGGCCCCCUGGACGAAGACUGACGCUCAGGUGCGAAAGCGUGGGGAGCAAAACAGGAUUAGAUACCCUGGUAGUCCACGCCGUAAACGAUGUCGACUUGGAGGUUGUGCCCUUGAGGCGUGGCUUCCGGAGCUAACGCGUUAAGUCGACCGCCUGGGGAGUACGGCCGCAAGGUUAAAACUCAAAUGAAUUGACGGGGGCCCGCACAAGCGGUGGAGCAUGUGGUUUAAUUCGAUGCAACGCGAAGAACCUUACCUGGUCUUGACAUCCACGGAAGUUUUCAGAGAUGAGAAUGUGCCUUCGGGAACCGUGAGACAGGUGCUGCAUGGCUGUCGUCAGCUCGUGUUGUGAAAUGUUGGGUUAAGUCCCGCAACGAGCGCAACCCUUAUCCUUUGUUGCCAGCGGUCCGGCCGGGAACUCAAAGGAGACUGCCAGUGAUAAACUGGAGGAAGGUGGGGAUGACGUCAAGUCAUCAUGGCCCUUACGACCAGGGCUACACACGUGCUACAAUGGCGCAUACAAAGAGAAGCGACCUCGCGAGAGCAAGCGGACCUCAUAAAGUGCGUCGUAGUCCGGAUUGGAGUCUGCAACUCGACUCCAUGAAGUCGGAAUCGCUAGUAAUCGUGGAUCAGAAUGCCACGGUGAAUACGUUCCCGGGCCUUGUACACACCGCCCGUCACACCAUGGGAGUGGGUUGCAAAAGAAGUAGGUAGCUUAACCUUCGGGAGGGCGCUUACCACUUUGUGAUUCAUGACUGGGGUGAAGUCGUAACAGGG